AUGAGAUACGAGAUAAUCAAGGCAAUUUGCAGUGGUUUGUGUUUCCUUCAGGAAGAAUACCGUAUCCUUCAUCUGGACCUUAAGCCAGAAAAUAUAUUGAUGGACUUUAUGAUGAUGCCGAAAAUCGCGGAUUUUGGUUUGUCGAGUCUCUUUGGUGUGCAGCAAAUGCGAAUCUUCACUGAUAAUCCUGCAGGAAACAGUAUUUAG
Molecule: ribosomal RNA, 207 nt
Filed under: Triticum aestivum (bread wheat)
Lineage: Eukaryota; Viridiplantae; Streptophyta; Magnoliopsida; Poales; Poaceae
Description: partial small subunit ribosomal RNA
Source: RNAcentral